This 2005-nucleotide long non-coding RNA is filed under the name Nicotiana benthamiana. RNAcentral's name for it is "long non-coding RNA (NBEN_LNC038421)". The record is from RNAcentral. Lineage: Eukaryota; Viridiplantae; Streptophyta; Magnoliopsida; Solanales; Solanaceae.
AUGGUUUUCCUCGUUUCUCUCCUCUCCUGUGAAUUUUUAAGUCUACCUUUUGUCUAUCAAUUCAUUUUCAUUAUCCUGAUUGUUUAGAUCACAAACAACAAUAGUAAAACAUAUGAAAUGAAAUAUUCUGAUAGGUGGGAUGAUAUUGAGUACUUUCAUCGAGGGUCAUGUUAGAACGAGGACAUAUGCUUUUGCUCUUUUAGUUUACUCUUAUUUUGUCUUAUUCUCUAUCUGAUGUUGCUUCUGCUUCGGUUUGGUUAUAUCUUGCUGUUUUUACUGCUGUUUCCAUGACUUUUUCAUUACCAUAUUUCUUUGCUUUACUGCGUCUGUGCUGGCCUGAGCUGAGGGUCUAUAACAACCAUUGUGAGGUGUGCGUACUCCCCAUACCCCACUUUUGGGAUUCCACUGGGUUUUUUGUUGCUGUUGUAGUUAUUGCCAAAAUAUCACGUCUAAGAUACACAAUAUUUUCUUCUGGAGACUCAUUACUGUUUGGCAAAGGGGAAUUGGAAAUUAGAUGCCUUGAGGUUACGUCAAAGCUCCAUCAUCACUGAGGUCAUUGCCAUCUUCCCACUUGUUCUAUGAGUAAACUUUGUGUGAACCAAAAUUGCGUUAUCUGAUCAUUCUUGCACUUGCAAGGUUCGUAUCUAGUACUAUAACAAUUUCAGGAACCCUAAAAAGAAAAAUGCACUCAUUUGCAGACUGUACUCUGCAUCUGUAUCCAUAACUAGAAGAUAAAUUUGACAUGACACCCACUUCAAUUUUGUAUAUUUAUCCUAAUGUGGGAAGAUCUGCGUCUAAUCCUCUAUAGUUCCAGAAAAGAAAUAGAACUCAGGUGUUUUUUGGACUAUUGUCCCUAACCGGAAGUUGGGCUUAACAUUGCAUCCACUUUGGUUUUCUAAAACCCUCCACUCUGCUUAUUAAAAAAUUAGUGACAUCAGUUUCUUUCUUCUUCUCGAUAAUUUAGUGACAUCAAUCACAGUUUCUGUCAAGUUCUUCAGCCAAUAUAGCCAUCCGGUCCUUUCCACUCUCGUUCCAUCUCUUAACUUCUGAGUUUUGACUCAUUUCUUAUUCAGUUUUGGUCCUAUUUCAGUAUUUGUUUUUGCGAAGUCUGCACCUGGACGUACAAUGUUUCUAGGGUCUGUAUGGUGCUAUACAUGUUGUCUUCAACUGACCCUAUAAAAAAUUUAGAGAGUUGUAGUUUUAAUAUGCUACCUGGCUAACAUCACGGCCAAAAAAAGGAAAAAAAAAGUGCUGGAAAUCCAUCACUUGACUACUAGACACCUCUUUGAUGUAACCAGGAAGGAAAACGAGAGACAAUUAGAUUCGAAAGAGUUAGUGGAGGGCACACUUCUAUUCAACCCUAAAUACUUCUGCUUGGUGGAAUCACAAAGAUAAGUGUUAAAAACAUUUUUGAAUAGUAUAGUCACAAAGUGCAAUCCUGAAGUGUAGGUAGCACUAUGUUGGAUGGCUAGAUGCUCCCCCCUCCCUUUGCCAUUUCGUUCUUUUUCUGUAUUGUUGCUUGUUUGUAUUUCAGGAUCUAACAUGGGGAGGAUCAUACUGGGUUUGUUGUUGUUGUCGUUAUUGUAAAUUGAGUGUACUAUUACUGGUAUACUGAAACUGAAGUUCCGUCUUGCAGGAUCCUUCUAUUGUUGCCUAGAUCAUAUAUAUAUAUAUGAAUUUGUGUUGGAGUUGCGAAGUUGCCUCUGUCAAAUAGCUUGGGAUUCCAAUAACUAUUUCCUUACAUCACGAAAUAGGGAUCCGGUAUGAAGAUUGCUGAUCGUCAAUGCCAAAUUCAAGCUAGUUUUCAUUUGUGAUGUAAUUCUUUUUAUUGGUUUAUUUCUUCCCAUCUUAUUGUGGAGUGGAGUGGUGUGGUGAAUACGAGGUUGUGUAAUUCUUUUUAGUUUUUAAGCCUUUCCAGUCACGAUAGGUUAGGAGCUUGUAUUGGCAUCAUAUCUUUCUUGGUGAGGCGAGGCCGAAUUUUAGUACAAGGAAACAAAAACCAAGU